Molecule: ribosomal RNA, 901 nt
Filed under: uncultured bacterium
Lineage: Bacteria
Description: bacterial SSU rRNA
Rfam family: Bacterial small subunit ribosomal RNA
Source: RNAcentral
AGAGUUUGAUCCUGGCUCAGGACGAACGCUGGCGGCGUGCCUAAUACAUGCAAGUAGAACGCUGAAGACUUUAGCUUGCUAAAGUUGGAAGAGUUGCGAACGGGUGAGUAACGCGUAGGUAACCUGCCUACUAGCGGGGGAUAACUAUUGGAAACGAUAGCUAAUACCGCAUAACAGCAUUUAACCCAUGUUAGAUGCUUGAAAGGAGCAAUUGCUUCACUAGUAGAUGGACCUGCGUUGUAUUAGCUAGUUGGUGAGGUAACGGCUCACCAAGGCGACGAUACAUAGCCGACCUGAGAGGGUGAUCGGCCACACUGGGACUGAGACACGGCCCAGACUCCUACGGGAGGCAGCAGUAGGGAAUCUUCGGCAAUGGGGGCAACCCUGACCGAGCAACGCCGCGUGAGUGAAGAAGGUUUUCGGAUCGUAAAGCUCUGUUGUAAGAGAAGAACGUGUGUGAGAGUGGAAAGUUCACACAGUGACGGUAACUUACCAGAAAGGGACGGCUAACUACGUGCCAGCAGCCGCGGUAAUACGUAGGUCCCGAGCGUUGUCCGGAUUUAUUGGGCGUAAAGCGAGCGCAGGCGGUUUAAUAAGUCUGAAGUUAAAGGCAGUGGCUUAACCAUUGUUCGCUUUGGAAACUGUUAGACUUGAGUGCAGAAGGGGAGAGUGGAAUUCCAUGUGUAGCGGUGAAAUGCGUAGAUAUAUGGAGGAACACCGGUGGCGAAAGCGGCUCUCUGGUCUGUAACUGACGCUGAGGCUCGAAAGCGUGGGGAGCAAACAGGAUUAGAUACCCUGGUAGUCCACGCCGUAAACGAUGAGUGCUAGGUGUUAGGGCCCUUUCCGGGGCUUAGUGCCGCAGCUAACGCAUUAAGCACUCCGCGCUGGGGAGUCGGCCCGC